GACGAACGCUGGCGGCGUGCUUAACACAUGCAAGUCGAACGGAAAGGCCCUGCUUUUGUGGGGUGCUGGAGUGGCGAACGGGUGAGUAACACGUGAGUAACCUGCCCUUGACUUUGGGAUAACUUCAGGAAACUGGGGCUAAUACCGGAUAGGAGCUCCUGCUGCAUGGUGGGGGUUGGAAAGUUUCGGCGGUUGGGGAUGGACUCGCGGCUUAUCAGCUUGUUGGUGGGGUAGUGGCUUACCAAGGCUUUGACGGGUAGCCGGCCUGAGAGGGUGACCGGCCACAUUGGGACUGAGAUACGGCCCAGACUCCUACGGGAGGCAGCAGUGGGGAAUAUUGCACAAUGGGCGGAAGCCUGAUGCAGCAACGCCGCGUGCGGGAUGACGGCCUUCGGGUUGUAAACCGCUUUCGCCUGUGACGAAGCGUGAGUGACGGUAAUGGGUAAAGAAGCACCGGCUAACUACGU
This 467-nucleotide ribosomal RNA is filed under the name uncultured bacterium. RNAcentral describes it as "partial 16S ribosomal RNA". It matches the Rfam family "Bacterial small subunit ribosomal RNA", at positions 28 to 506 of the family's 1533-position model. The record is from RNAcentral.